This 348-nucleotide unclassified non-coding RNA is filed under the name soil metagenome. Its description in RNAcentral is "partial contains 5.8S ribosomal RNA, internal transcribed spacer 2, and large subunit ribosomal RNA". The stretch from base 1 to 120 matches the Rfam family "5.8S ribosomal RNA", at positions 35 to 154 of the family's 154-position model. The record is from RNAcentral.
GAUGAAGAACGCAGCGAAAUGCGAUAAGUAAUGUGAAUUGCAGAAUUCAGUGAAUCAUCGAAUCUUUGAACGCACAUUGCGCCCGCCAGUAUUCUGGCGGGCAUGCCUGUCUGAGCGUCAUUUCAACCCUCAUGCCCCUAGGGCGUGGUGUUGGGGAUCGGCCAAAGCCCGCGAGGGACGGCCGGCCCCUAAAUCUAGUGGCGGACCCGUCGUGGCCUCCUCUGCGAAGUAGUGAUAUUCCGCAUCGGAGAGCGAUGAGCCCCUGCCGUUAAACCCCCAACUUUCCAAGGUUGACCUCGGAUCAGGUAGGAAGACCCGCUGAACUUAAGCAUAUCAAUAAGCGGAGGA